Molecule: non-coding RNA, 710 nt
Organism: Zonotrichia albicollis (white-throated sparrow)
Lineage: Eukaryota; Metazoa; Chordata; Aves; Passeriformes; Passerellidae
Source: RefSeq, a predicted model, not a curated record
AAUCUGCAGCAAGAUACCACAUUAACAUCUGUUAAUGGCACUGUGGGUCAUCCAUCCUUGUUGAAGGCAGCCCUGAAUGCGGAACACUUUGUGAAAAAUGACAGAAUUUUAAUGAGAAAGUGAACAACAUGCCAUCAACACCCUUUCGCCAGUAAAAAUGGAAAAACAUCAAGCUUUAAAUCAUGUUCCCACCACACCUUUGGACAUCUGCGAUUCUGUCUGAGUCCUCAAAAUCUGCUAUAUCUAUCACCAGGUGCAGCCUUUAAACGCUGAGGAGCUUUCUGCUUCAUUGGUUGGCAUGGCAACAGUUGUCAAAUCAUCCCUUGAUAAUGCUCUUUAAUUGAUUGUAUAAAUUAUUUCUGAGAUACGUGAUUGCAGAGCGACGUACUGGAGCUCUUAAGUACACUGAUCGGAGUCCGUGCAUUUGAAAACGCGCUGCAUUCGCUGACCCUCGCUGAGAGCCUGACCCUCUCACCAGCCUGGAAUUCUUUACAUGAGGCAUAAACAUCAAGCAUUGAGGGAAAAGUUCAAAGUGAUGGCAAAGGGACAGGCUGAGGAAUCUGGGCUGUUCAGCCUCGAGAAGAGAUGACUGAGAGGGGAUCCCAUCAAAGUCUAUCAAUAUCUGAAGAGAGGACAUCAAGAGCAUGGAGCCAGGCCUCUGGCUGGCUCAGUGGUGCCAGAGGACAAGAGGAAAGGGGAGACCCUGAUGC